GGGGAAUUUUCCGCAAUGGGCGAAAGCCUGACGGAGCAAGACCGCGUGGGGGAUGAAGGUUUGUGGAUUGUAAACCCCUUUUGAUUGGGAAGAAUACUGACGGUACCAAUCGAAUAAGCCUCGGCUAACUCCGUGCCAGCAGCCGCGGUAAUACGGAGGAGGCAAGCGUUAUCCGGAAUUAUUGGGCGUAAAGCGUCCGUAGGUGGUUUAGUAAGUCUGCUGUUAAAGCGCGGGGCUUAACUCCGUAUCGGCAGUGGAAACUACUAGACUAGAGUGUGGUAGGGGUAGAAGGAAUUCCCAGUGUAGCGGUGAAAUGCGUAGAUAUUGGGAAGAACACCGGUGGCGAAAGCGCUCUACUGGGCCAUAACUGACACUGAUGGACGAAAGCUAGGGGAGCGAAAGGGAUUAGAUACCCCUGUAGUC
This 423-nucleotide ribosomal RNA is filed under the name uncultured cyanobacterium. RNAcentral describes it as "bacterial SSU rRNA". It matches the Rfam family "Bacterial small subunit ribosomal RNA", at positions 356 to 795 of the family's 1533-position model. The record is from RNAcentral. Lineage: Bacteria; Bacillati; Cyanobacteriota.